GACGAACGCUGGCGGCGUGCCUAAUACAUGCAAGUUGAGCGCUGAAGGUUGGUACUUGUACCAACUGGAUGAGCAGCGAACGGGUGAGUAACGCGUGGGGAAUCUGCCUUUGAGCGGGGGACAACAUUUGGAAACGAAUGCUAAUACUGCAUAAAAACUUUAAACACAAGUUUUAAGUUUGAAAGAUGCAAUUGCAUCACUCAAAGAUGAUCCCGCGUUGUAUUAGCUAGUUGGUGAGGUAAAGGCUCACCAAGGCGAUGAUACAUAGCCGACCUGAGAGGGUGAUCGGCCACAUUGGGACUGGGACACGGCCCAAACUCCUACGGGAGGCAGCAGUAGGGAAUCUUCGGCAAUGGACGAAAGUCUGACCGAGCAACGCCGCGUGAGUGAAGAAGGUUUUCGGAUCGUAAAACUCUGUUGGUAGAGAAGAACGUUGGUGAGAGUGGAAAGCUCAUCAAGUGACGGUAACUACCCAGAAAGGGACGGCUAACUACGUG
RNAcentral lists this ribosomal RNA (497 nucleotides) under uncultured bacterium. Its description in RNAcentral is "partial 16S ribosomal RNA". It matches the Rfam family "Bacterial small subunit ribosomal RNA", at positions 28 to 507 of the family's 1533-position model. The record is from RNAcentral.